UCCGGUUUGUCACCGGCAGUCUCGCGUGAGUCCCCAACUUAAUGCUGGCAACACGCGACAAGGGUUGCGCUCGUUGCGGGACUUAACCCAACAUCUCACGACACGAGCUGACGACAGCCAUGCAGCACCUGUGCGCCGGUUCUCUUUCGAGCACCCCGAGAUCUCUCCCGGGUUCCGACCAUGUCAAGGGUAGGUAAGGUUUUUCGCGUUGCAUCGAAUUAAUCCACAUCAUCCACCGCUUGUGCGGGUCCCCGUCAAUUCCUUUGAGUUUUAAUCUUGCGACCGUACUCCCCAGGCGGUCAACUUCACGCGUUAGCUGCGUUACCAAGUCAAUUAAGACCCGACAACUAGUUGACAUCGUUUAGGGCGUGGACUAC
This 377-nucleotide unclassified non-coding RNA is filed under the name uncultured Gammaproteobacteria bacterium. RNAcentral's name for it is "contains 16S-23S intergenic spacer region". The record is from RNAcentral. Lineage: Bacteria; Pseudomonadati; Pseudomonadota; Gammaproteobacteria.